AUCAGUUUACCGAUAAGACAAAUA
This 24-nucleotide microRNA is filed under the name Ananas comosus (pineapple). RNAcentral's name for it is "microRNA s1686_c106b". The record is from RNAcentral. Lineage: Eukaryota; Viridiplantae; Streptophyta; Magnoliopsida; Poales; Bromeliaceae.